RNAcentral lists this ribosomal RNA (801 nucleotides) under Triticum aestivum (bread wheat). RNAcentral's name for it is "partial small subunit ribosomal RNA". The record is from RNAcentral. Lineage: Eukaryota; Viridiplantae; Streptophyta; Magnoliopsida; Poales; Poaceae.
AUGGCGAUGGCGGCCUACAGCAACCAAGCGCAGGCGAUGAUGAGGGACUACCUGCUCGCCGACCCGCUCGUCCCCUACACCUCCGUGCUCAUCGGCGUUUUCCUCUGCAAGAUGGCUUAUGACCUCACACGGAUAUUGAGCUCAUUCUACUUCAAGGGCUAUUCUUCUUUGACAAAAAUACAGCGUGUUGAAUGGAACAACAGGGGUAUGUCCAGUGCACAUGCGAUCUUUAUCGCAGCAGUAUCAGUAUAUCUUGUUGCAUCUACAGAUCUUUUCUCUGAUCGCCUUAAUGGGCCUAUUACAUUCCGCAGUUCGAUCAUCUCCACCUCUGCAUUAGGGGUUUCUGUGGGUUACUUCAUCACUGAUCUUGCAAUGAUCUUCUGGUUGUUUCCUUCCCUUGGUGGAAUGGAAUAUGUACUCCAUCAUACUCUUUCUCUGGUUGCAAUAGCCUACACAAUGUUGUCAGGGGAGGGGCAGUUUUACACAUACAUGAUUCUUAUUUCAGAAACAACCACCCCUGAAAUCAACAUGAGAUGGUUCCUUGACACCGCUGGAUUGAAGAAGUCGAGCGCCUACCUGAUUAAUGGUAUUUUGAUAUUUGUUGUAUGGCUGGUGGCAAGGAUAUUUUUGUUCCUGUAUGUAUUUUACCACAUCUAUUUGCACUACAGCCAGAUAAUGAAGAUGCACGCAUUUGGUUAUUACCUGACACUGACCGUGCCGUCGGUGCUCUUUGUCAUGAACGCAAUGUGGUUUACGAAGAUUUUGAAAGGGGUAAUGAAAACACUGUCGAAAUGGUCGUAA